GGGGCUUAUUUCUGUUGCUUUGACGAAAGCUUCUGAAAAUGAAGGCUUUAUUCCAGUGAACAAAAAUCUCUGGUCCACCUCCUACGUCACCACGCUGAGCUCCUCUGCCUUCUUGAUCCUGCUGGUCCUGUACCCCAUUGUGGAUGUGAAGGGACUGUGGACAGGAACCCCGUUCUUCUACCCGGGCAUGAACUCGAUCCUGGUGUACGUGGGCCACGAGGUGUUUGCCAACUACUUCCCCUUCCAGUGGAGGCUGGGGGACAGCCAGUCCCACAGGGAGCAUCUGGUGCAGAACAUAGUCGCCACUGCACUCUGGGUGCUCAUCGCCUACGUCCUCUACAAGAAGAACGUCUUUUGGAAAAUCUGAGGCUCCGGCUGAGAUGAGAUGUGUGACUGGCAGACGACAGGGCCUGGGGAAUCAUUAAAAGGAGUCAUUCGUUAAAACAGCGGCUGGGCUGUGAAUUUCCAGAUUAUCAACAAGGAGGCUGACGUGGCUCCUGCGAAUCUGCCUGUGGACGUGGGACUUAAAUACCUGAAACGUAAUUGUCUUGUCUUCUCCGUCUUCUAUGGAAAUGGAUGCAUUUGGAACGUCUCAUUUAAUUUUUCAGAAGGGAAUUCACCAGGCCAUUUUGCUUCUGUGACGGGCAACACAAUCCACGGUCUGCUGCUCCCUGAUGUUCUUUGCCUGCACCUGCCUCUCCUCUCGUAUCCACACCGACCAAGGUGCCACCUUCGCCGCCGUGGCUGGCUGUGACGCUCGCUGGGUGUAUGUGCAGUAGCGCAGUCUAAUAGAUUUUUGGUGAAGUACAGCUUAAUAGUUCAAGAAAGUCCAAGUGAUUUCCUUUCAGCUCUGUAGGGCACCGGUGGGGCCAAAUAAAAAGCCUUUCUUUUUUUUUUAAGCAGUAGGGAAGAAACUUUAUUAAUUGAUGACAGCAUGUUUUUUAAAAGGCUCAAAUUAGGGAAAACGCUGUAGGAUACGCACCAACCAUAGCGAUGUUGUAUCAGAAACCAGAGUGGGGGCUCCCGCUGUGGUGCAACAGGGUCAGCAGCAUCUCUGGAGCCCUAGGAUGCAAGUUCAAUCCCUGGCCCCGAACAGUGGGUUAAAGGAUCUGGCGUUGCUACAGUUGUGGUGUAGGUGCAACUGUGGCUCAGAUCUGACCCCUGGCCUGGCCAAAAAAAUGAAAACAAACCAAAAAUCCAGGUUGAAUUAAAGUUAUGAUCAUAUUCAAAAAAGGCUUUUUUUUUUUUUUUUUUUAAGGGCUGCACCAAGGCACAUGGAGGUUCCCAGGCUAGGGGUCAAAUCAGAGCCACUGGCCUACAGCACAGCCACAGCAAUGCAGGAUCCGAGCCAAGUCUGCAACCUACACCACAGCUCAUGGCGACGCUGGAUCUUUAACCCACUGAGCGAGGCCACGGGUUGAACCCACGUCCUCUGGAUACUAGUCAGGUUUGUUACCAUUGAGCCAAAACAGGAACUCCCCCAAAAUGCCUUUCUAUCAGAAGCUGUUUUUUCUCCUUUUCUCCAUUUUAAAAACAGUUAAAACCAUAGAUGUAUUAUUUGCAGCCACUCUUGCUUACAGUUAACUACUUAAGUGCCUACCUGUCAGCCUACCCACUCACCUCCUACUUGGGGGCCUUUCUCUCCGUGUAUCUGGAUGGUAUCUGGUCCCCAGGGCCAGCCUCUGUCCCUAGGAAGAGAGGAGCUUGCGGUGUCUCCUGGGCUCCUGCUUUGCCGUCCUUGCCGUGCGCGAUGUCAGGCAAGUCCCUGAGCAACAAGGGAGGUGGUGCUGGGCUCCCCGCUCCCUGCCAGCUCUGAGGCUCAGUGGGGUGGCCUGCACCGCUGGCUUUUCUGAAAUCCUUAGAAAAAUAUUUUUAUUACAGAAAACUCUUCCAAAUCAAUGACCACGAAAAGUUAAAAAAAAAAAAAAAACAAAAACCUCUCAUCGGAGUAAAUCUUUUCAGAAUGACCCUUCGCAGUGGAGGCAGAUUUCCUGCUCGGAAUCCCCAGAAUGAGGACUUGUUGGAGAACACAGCGAGAAACAGGUCUUCCAUGGGAGGCAUCCUUGUACCUGGGAAUUUCCUGUGAGAAAGAAAACGUGGCACUGGGCUGUACCUGGGACCCUCUGCGUGGGCCCUGUCCCACCACGUCCGCUGUCGUCCCUGCGGGGACCCCAUCUCUACCUGAACUCUCCUUCCAACUUGUGACCGCCCUCGGACCCCCGGAUGCCCGCCAGCAUCCAGGCCCCUCCGCCGUCUCUUCCCAAAUGCAGCCCUUCCCGCCGCUGGACGGCUCUGUGGAUGGUCGUCUUGGUACAAAAGUGCCGUCGUCUUUCCCACAUCUCACGCCCUUUCCCACGGUCAGUUGUCACUGAAUCUUCUCAAUUCUGUCUCCACCUCCCACCUGGAACAUCUCAUUCUCCUGGUCACUGCCUGUUAUGCUUGUGCAGACUCUUGUAAUCAUUUUUAAGCCGGCCUCUUUCCCCAAAGUCACUCUGUCACCCUCAGAUUACGCUUCAUAAAACAGAUCAGAUCAAAGCACCUCCUUUUACAGCUUUGCUACAGAUGGAUGCAUCCUCCACGGAGCCGAGCAUAUCAUACCCGCUGGUGUCUUUCCCCAGCCCUGGACCCACACGACGAGUCCUGGCCCGACCACCUCCAUCAGCAGUGGUAGGCGGGCCUCUGCCUCUGCCUCUGCGUGCGGUCAUCCUGGAUUGCUUUUCCUCUUCGUUUUCUCCCAUCCACAUCUGACCUGCACGUUCUCUAGGGCACCUUCUGUAAUCUCUUAUUCUCAGAGUAAUAUUUUCUUCCUCUGGAUUCUCUUAAUACCUGGUGGAGGCCGAUCUUGUAGCAUUAUUUGUUUUCUGCCUUGGUGUGACGGUCACUUGUGUCCAUGACCAAGUUCCCAUGCUGGACAGUGAGCCUGCAGAGGACAGGAGCCACGCCUCGUCCACCUGCAUGUUCUUCACGGCACCAACACAGUGCCUCGUGCAGAGCGGGUGCUAAAUAAACACCUGUUAAAGC
RNAcentral lists this long non-coding RNA (3021 nucleotides) under Sus scrofa (pig). RNAcentral describes it as "lncRNA (ENSSSCG00040028769.1)". The record is from RNAcentral. Lineage: Eukaryota; Metazoa; Chordata; Mammalia; Artiodactyla; Suidae.